RNAcentral lists this non-coding RNA (114 nucleotides) under bovine gut metagenome. RNAcentral's name for it is "FMN riboswitch (RFN element)". It matches the Rfam family "FMN riboswitch aptamer (RFN element)". From Rfam's summary of the family: The RFN element is a highly conserved domain that is found frequently in the 5'-untranslated regions of prokaryotic mRNAs that encode for flavin mononucleotide (FMN) biosynthesis and transport proteins. This element is a metabolite-dependent riboswitch that directly binds FMN in the absence of proteins. In Bacillus subtilis, the riboswitch most likely controls gene expression by causing premature transcription termination within the 5' untranslated region of the ribDEAHT operon and precluding access to the ribosome-binding site of ypaA mRNA. The record is from RNAcentral.
GCUUCGGGGCAGGGUGAAAGUCCCUACCGGCAGUAUAGUCUGCGAACGGCGGUCGAACCGCUGUUGAAUCGGUGCGAUUCCGAUACCGACGGUCAAAGUCCGGAUGGGAGAAGC